ACCUACGGGGGGCAGCAGUGAGGAAUAUUGGUCAAUGGUCGGGAGACUGAACCAGCCAAGCCGCGUGAGGGAUGAAGGUACAGAGUAUCGUAAACCUCUUUUGUCAGGGAACAAAGGCGGGGACGCGUCCCCGGAUGAGUGUACCUGAAGAAAAAGCAUCGACUAACUCCGUGCCAGCAGCCGCGGUAAUACGGAGGAUGCGAGCGUUAUCCGGAUUUAUUGGGUUUAAAGGGUGCGCAGGCGGUCUAUUAAGUCAGCGGUCAAAGCCCGGGGCUCAACCCCGGCCCGCCGUUGAAACUGGCAGG
RNAcentral lists this ribosomal RNA (305 nucleotides) under uncultured bacterium. RNAcentral describes it as "bacterial SSU rRNA". It matches the Rfam family "Bacterial small subunit ribosomal RNA", at positions 337 to 640 of the family's 1533-position model. The record is from RNAcentral.